CAGGUUUGCCACAGUCCUGGCACAGAAAAGAAGAAAAACAAACAUGAUUUUAACUUGUGAAUUCUGGAAAUGUAUUUAGUAAAUUAAGAUCUGUUCUACAGUGAUAUUUACACGGAAUAACAUUUACACCAUGUUUUGAAGAGCAGUUAGACUAACUCAUAUCCUUCAUCAUUGCACCAUCCAGUUCAAGGUCCCACCAGGUGAUGAUUGGUCCUGGAUUAUUUGUACUAGUGAUCAUGUCAGUGAUAGUCCUGGUUUAGCCUGCUACAGGAGGUGAAUGAGUAAAAAUUAAAAGAAUGCAAACAGUGACCAUCUAAAGACACAGACCUCCAACAGCAGUGAUCCAUAGUCCCUGAAUAUGAUAUAUAACAAAAUGAUUAAGUUCAAAGACAGUCAUGUAAUGCAACAGCUAUAUAACACAUUAAAAAUAACUGUGAAACUUAACAAGUGUUAAAAGCUUUAAUUUGCUUUGGUGUAAGCAAAAAAAGGUCAUAAAAUGUAAUAUAAAAGUUUGCUUUUUUACUGUUUAUGUAGGCUACAACUUACUCUGUUUACUCAUAUCUUAAGGCAAGUAGUAAAGAGUCAGCUAUAACAACAAGCAAAGCUUUAAAUAAAUAAAUUGGUGCAUCAUUUCCUCACAUGGUGGCUUAUUUGAUUCUUGUUAUUUUCCUUGAACUGUGAAAUGUUUAAUUUUAUUCAUUUCUUGUAUCUACUGUAUGACAGAUUUCAACAUCUCAGUCUGUGCAAUAUGUCCACUGCUGUACUUUUUCUGUUUUGAAGGUUGUUGCAACACUUACAGCAAAACAGUUUUACUAUUUGUUAUGUUUCCAUUUAUUGUUUUAUACUUUCUGCCUAUGCUAAAUAUCUUUUUUAUUUUUGUAUAUUUCUUAAUAUUUUACACCUCAUGCUUGACUACUGUGCUAGUAUUUUCAGCAAUGUGAUAAACACUGACAUGAAUGAACAUUUUAAAGGUUAAUGCCUGGUUUCACAGACAAGGCUUGGCUUAAACCAAGACUAUGCAUUAGUUAAAUUAGGAUAUUUAAGUUGAAUGCCUUAGAAAAAAUAGUACUAGUGUGAUCUUGAGACAAAACAAUGAGACUGACAUUUUUUUUUUAAAUAAAGUUAAGAAAAAGUUAUUCUUAAUUAAGAAAGCUCAUACAUUUAUUUUAGUCUGGGCUAGCCUUAGCCUUCUCUGUGAAACCAGGCACAAGUAGGUUAAGAUUUAACUUUAAACAAACUGUUGCCAGUAAAUAACAAAUGUAAAAUCUACAGUAAGUUACUGGCAACUAGUUGUAAUUUCUACAUUUUUUUACUGUGUGCAUACUGCUAAACACAAGCGGCAACAAUCAAUUGCAAAUAUCAUCACACAUGUCAUUGAUUAAACACAACCACUCAAAAUGGAUUUAACCUGUUUCAAAUGAUGUGACACAACCAAUAUAAGCCAGUUCACUGUUGUAUACAGAAGUACAGUGCGUUUUAGACUGUAUACUGAACAAUAAACAUAUUGUAUGACCCUGAA
Non-coding RNA from Misgurnus anguillicaudatus (oriental weatherfish), 1519 nucleotides. The record is from RefSeq and is a predicted model, not a curated record. Lineage: Eukaryota; Metazoa; Chordata; Actinopteri; Cypriniformes; Cobitidae.